CCUACGGGAGGCAGCAGUGGGGAAUAUUGCGCAAUGGGCGAAAGCCUGACGCAGCGACGCCGCGUGAGGGAUGAAGGUCUUCGGAUCGUAAACCUCUGUCAGCAGGGAAGAACGGUCACUGUGCUAAUCAGCAGUGAAUUGACGGUACCUGCAAAGGAAGCACCGGCUAACUCCGUGCCAGCAGCCGCGGUAAUACGGAGGGUGCGAGCGUUAAUCGGAAUUACUGGGCGUAAAGCGCUCGUAGGCGGUAUGUCAAGUCAAGGGUGAAAUCCCCGCGCUCAACGUGGGAACUGCAUUUGAAACUGGCAAACUGGAGUGUGUGAGAGGAUAGUGGAAUUCCAGGUGUAGGAGUGAAAGCCGUAGAUAUCUGGAGGAACAUCAGUGGCGAAGGCGACUAUCUGGCACAUAACUGACGCUGAGGAGCGAAAGCGUGGGUAGCAAACAGGAUUAGAUACCCUAGUAGUC
Molecule: ribosomal RNA, 465 nt
Filed under: uncultured bacterium
Lineage: Bacteria
Description: partial 16S ribosomal RNA
Rfam family: Bacterial small subunit ribosomal RNA
Source: RNAcentral